Molecule: ribosomal RNA, 642 nt
Filed under: Triticum aestivum (bread wheat)
Lineage: Eukaryota; Viridiplantae; Streptophyta; Magnoliopsida; Poales; Poaceae
Description: partial small subunit ribosomal RNA
Source: RNAcentral
GGAAUUUAUAAAAAAGAAAAAUUGCGUUUGUCUACCCUAAUUGAUUCCCUUGAUAAAAUAGCGGAGGUGAGGCCUCUGUCUGCUGUUGAGAUCGAGCAAAAAAGCAAUCUUAACGAGCAGAUUGCCCACCUACUACGUGAGGAAGAGAUUAAAUGGUACCAACGUAGCAAGGCGGAUUCGUUAGUGCUAGGUGAUGAUAAUACGAAAUACUUUCAGAUGCUUGCCAAUGGCAGACAUAGAAAGAAGCGUAUAUUCGCCCUUGAUCAGGAGGAAGGCCGAAUAGAGGGGGACGUACCACUUAGAAAUUUUAUCACUAAGUUUUACAAAUACCUUUUUGGGCCUUCAGCCGAGACUAAUUUUCAUCUAGAUGAAUCCGUUACUCAUGACAUCACUCAAGUUACGGAAGCGGAAAAUGAAUUCCUAACCUCUCCUUUUUCUGAGGAGGAAAUUCGAACCGCUGUGUUUCAGAUGGAACACAACAAGGCACCGGGACCGGAUGGCUUUCCCGCAGAGUUCUAUCAAUGCUUUUGGGACGUCAUUAAGGCAGACUUGGUUCAGUUGUUUAACCAACUGCAUUUCGAGGACCUUGACAUUUCUCGUUUAAACUUUGGGGAAAUUAUCCUACUGCCUAAGAUUAAGGAG